GUAACUAGGGAGUAACGUACCGGGAAACCCGAACGGGGGACGUAAUACCGGAUAACACAUGAAACCGCAUGGUUUCAUGAUGAAAGACGGUUUUGCUGUCACUUAUAGAUGGACCCGCGGCGUAUUAGCUAGUUGGUAAGGUAACGGCUUACCAAGGCAACGAUACGUAGCCGACCUGAGAGGGUGAUCGGCCACACUGGAACUGAGACACGGUCCAGACUCCUACGGGAGGCAGCAGAC
Molecule: ribosomal RNA, 240 nt
Filed under: uncultured Staphylococcus sp.
Lineage: Bacteria; Bacillati; Bacillota; Bacilli; Caryophanales; Staphylococcaceae
Description: partial 16S ribosomal RNA
Rfam family: Bacterial small subunit ribosomal RNA
Source: RNAcentral